This 322-nucleotide small RNA is filed under the name Choloepus hoffmanni (Hoffmann's two-fingered sloth). RNAcentral describes it as "7SK RNA (ENSCHOG00000015640.1)". The record is from RNAcentral. Lineage: Eukaryota; Metazoa; Chordata; Mammalia; Pilosa; Megalonychidae.
GACUCUGAGAGAGAUUUGCUUGCAGUACCUGUCACCUCACCCCAGGAAGUCUGCAACUGAUGGAGCUGCCUUGGCAGGUUUCCGGAUCCCUCCUCAUGUGGCACAGGGACCUCUCCAAAGCUGAGCCCUUGUUUGAAUAACAAGUCCUUUGCAGAUAAAGGUGGUAAGAGUUGAAAAGUAGCUACCCUCCCUGCUAGAAUCUUAAAUCAAAUCUUUUAAGUCCUCUAAGCACAAUUUCUUCUUCUGAAGAACAGGACUCAUAAUGGGUUAUUUUGAAGAUUAAACGAGGUAAUGUACAUAAAAACUGUGUAAACAUACCUCU